AUACAGAGGGUGCAAGCGUUAAUCGGAAUUACUGGGCGCAAAGCGCGCGUAGGCGGUAUGUUAAGUCGGAUGUGAAAUCCCUGGGCUCAACCUAGGCAUUGCAUCCGAUACUGGCACACUAGAGUGUGGGAGAGGAAGGUAGAAUUCCAGGUGUAGCGGUGAAAUGCGUAGAGAUCUGGAGGAAUACCGAUGGCGAAGGCAGCCUUCUGGCCUAACACUGACGCUGAGGUGCGAAAGCAUGGGGAGCAAACAGGAUUAGAUACCCUGGUAGUCCAUGCCGUAAACGAUGUCAACUAGCCGUUGGGCUCCUUGAGGGCUUAGUGGCGCAGCUAACGCGAUAAGUUGACCGCCUGGGGAGUACGGUCGCAAGACUAAA
This 376-nucleotide ribosomal RNA is filed under the name uncultured bacterium. Its description in RNAcentral is "bacterial SSU rRNA". It matches the Rfam family "Bacterial small subunit ribosomal RNA", at positions 523 to 898 of the family's 1533-position model. The record is from RNAcentral.